GGCGACCGCUGUGGGAGUCCGAUUAAGCCAUGCGAGUCGGGAGAAUAAGAUUCUCGGCAUACCGCUCAGUAACACGUGGAUAACCUGCCCUGUGCUGGGGGAUAACCUCGCGAAAGUGAGAACAAUACCCCAUGGGUCACUACGCCUGGAACGGUGAGUGGCUGAAAGCUCCGGCGGCACAGGAUGGGUCUGCGGCGUAUCAGGUAGUAGGGGGUGUAACGUACCUCCUAGCCUUCGACGCGUACGGGUUGUGAGAGCAAUUGCCCGGAGAUGGAUUCUGAGACACGAAUCCAGGCCCUACGGGGCGCAGCAGGCGCGAAAACUUGACAAUGCGAGAAAUCGUGAUCAGGGGACUCCAGUUGGCUGGAUUAAUAUCCAGUCUGAACCGACUUUAAAUCGGUCGGGUAAUAGGGGCGGGAAAGACCGGUGCCAGCCGCCGCGGUAAUACCGGCGCCCCAAGUGGUCGUCACUAUUAUUGGGCCUAAAACGUCCGUAGCCGGUUUGGUAAAUCCGUGGGUAAAUCAGACAGCCUAACUGUCUGAAUUCUGCGGGGACUGCCAGACUUGAGACCGGGAGAGGUACGGGGUACCUGCGGGGUAGCGGUAAAAUGCGAUCAUCCCGUAGGGACCACCUGUUGCGAAGGCGCCGUACUAGAACGGAUCUGACGGUCAGGGACGAAGCCUAGGGGCACGAACCGGAUUAGAUACCCGGGUAGUCCUAGGUGUAAACGCUGUGGACUUGGUGUCGGGGACUUUCAGAGAGUUUCCGGUGCCGGAGUGAAGAUGUUAAGUCCACUGCCUGGGGAGUACGGUCGCAAGGCUGAAACUUAAAGGAAUUGGCGGGGGAGCACCGCAACGAGAGGAGCGUGCGGUUU
Molecule: ribosomal RNA, 874 nt
Filed under: uncultured archaeon
Lineage: Archaea
Description: bacterial SSU rRNA
Rfam family: Archaeal small subunit ribosomal RNA
Source: RNAcentral